UGCUUACACAUGCAAGUCGAACGGAAAGGCCCAGCUUGCUGGGUACUCGAGUGGCGAACGGGUGAGUAACACGUGGGUGAUCUGCCCUGCACUCUGGGAUAAGCCUGGGAAACUGGGUCUAAUACCGGAUAUGACCAACUGUCGCAUGGUGGUUGGUGGAAAGCUUUUGCGGUGUGGGAUGGGCCCGCGGCCUAUCAGCUUGUUGGUGGGGUAAUGGCCUACCAAGGCGACGACGGGUAGCCGACCUGAGAGGGUGAUCGGCCACACUGGGACUGAGACACGGCCCAGACUCCUACGGGAGGCAGCAGUGGGGAAUAUUGCACAAUGGGCGCAAGCCUGAUGCAGCGACGCCGCGUGAGGGAUGACGGCCUUCGGGUUGUAAACCUCUUUCACCAGGGACGAAGCGUGAGUGACGGUACCUGGAGAAGAAGCACCGGCCAACUACGUGCCAGCAGCCGCGGUAAUACGUAGGGUGCGAGCGUUGUCCGGAAUUACUGGGCGUAAAGAGCUCGUAGGCGGUUUGUCGCGUCGUCUGUGAAAUUCUGCAACUCAAUUGCAGGCGUGCAGGCGAUACGGGCAGACUUGAGUACUACAGGGGAGACUGGAAUUCCUGGUGUAGCGGUGAAAUGCGCAGAUAUCAGGAGGAACACCGGUGGCGAAGGCGGGUCUCUGGGUAGUAACUGACGCUGAGGAGCGAAAGCGUGGGUAGCGAACAGGAUUAGAUACCCUGGUAGUCCACGCCGUAAACGGUGGGUACUAGGUGUGGGUUCCUUUUCACGGGAUCCGUGCCGUAGCUAA
This 798-nucleotide ribosomal RNA is filed under the name Gordonia sp. HVG22B. RNAcentral's name for it is "bacterial SSU rRNA". It matches the Rfam family "Bacterial small subunit ribosomal RNA", at positions 45 to 855 of the family's 1533-position model. Lineage: Bacteria; Bacillati; Actinomycetota; Actinomycetes; Mycobacteriales; Gordoniaceae. The record is from RNAcentral.